Molecule: ribosomal RNA, 486 nt
Filed under: Acanthamoeba sp. ACA_61/10
Lineage: Eukaryota; Discosea; Longamoebia; Acanthamoebidae
Description: bacterial SSU rRNA
Rfam family: Eukaryotic small subunit ribosomal RNA
Source: RNAcentral
UGAAAUAAUGAAAGAUUUACCUCUGCGAAAGCCUCUGCCAAGGAUGUUUUCAUUAAUCAAGAACGAAAGUUAGGGGAUCGAAGACGAUCAGAUACCGUCGUAGUCUUAACCAUCAACGAUGCCGACCAGCGAUUAGGAGACGUUGAAUACACAACACCACCAUCGGUGCGGUCGUCCUCGGCGUCGGUCUUUCGGGGCCGGCGCGGGGGCGGCUUAGCCCGGUGGCACCGGUGAAUGACUCCCCUAGCAGCUUGUGAGAAAUCAUAAGUCUUUGGGUUCCGGGGGGAGUAUGGUCGCAAGGCUGAAACUUAAAGGAAUUGACGGAAGGGCACCACCAGGAGUGGAGCCUGCGGCUUUAUUUGACUCAACACGGGGAAACUUACCAGGUCCGGACAUAGUAAGGAUUGACAGAUUUAUAGCUUCUUCCUGAUUCUAUGGGUGGGGUUUCAUGGCCGCCGAUAUUUGGUGGAAUGCCAGGCCAAACCC